CCUACGGGAGGCUGCAGUAGGGAAUAUUCGGCAAUGGGGGGAACCCUGACCGAGCAACGCCGCGUGAAGGAAGAAGGUAUUCGUAAUGUAAAGUUCUUUUAACAGGGAAGAAAGAGAAAUUUGACGGUACCUGAAGAAUAAGCUCCGGCUAACUACGUGCCAGCAGCCGCGGUAAUACGUAGGGAGCGAGCGUUAUCCGGAAUUAUUGGGCGAAAAGGGUGCGUAGACGGCAUAGUAAGUCUUUGGUAAAAAUGCUGGGCUAAACCCAGUAGGGCAAAAGAUACUGCAAAGCUAGAGUAUGACAGAGGCAAGUGGAACUACAUGUGUAGCGGUGAAAUGCGUAAAUAUAUGUAAGAACACCAGUGGCGAAGGCGGCUUGCUGGGUCGAUACUGACAUUGAGGCACGAAAGCGUGGGGAGCAAACAGGAUUAGAUACCCCAGUAGUC
This 446-nucleotide ribosomal RNA is filed under the name uncultured bacterium. Its description in RNAcentral is "partial 16S ribosomal RNA". It matches the Rfam family "Bacterial small subunit ribosomal RNA", at positions 338 to 795 of the family's 1533-position model. The record is from RNAcentral.